Polypterus senegalus (gray bichir) is the source of this 1756-nucleotide long non-coding RNA. RefSeq lists it as uncharacterized. NCBI's taxonomy places the organism in Eukaryota, Metazoa, Chordata, Cladistia, Polypteriformes, Polypteridae. The transcript is spliced from 3 exons. The record is from RefSeq and is a predicted model, not a curated record.
CUUAAACCCUUCGACAGCUCCAGAACCAUUCGGCCAUCGGGAUGUCGUGCUGCCCGAUUCUGCGCAUUGAGGUCCACAUGACUGACGUACCAUUCCUUAUUAUCUGUGGGUGGACCCACCAGAAGCGGGGACACCGUGACAUCACGACAGAGGGACCGUCCCCCGCCUCCAUAGUUCGAGCUGAGGAGUGAAGCGGCUCAGAUUGUCGCUGGCUGCUGUGGAGGACCCCAGGGUCUCCUCUUUCAAAUAUCGUUUGCUUCUGUUGGGGGAUUUUAUACCCGUAGUGUCCUGUCUCCCCUGGCUGGGCUUCAAAGUGGUGUUUCGUGUUAUUUUAUGCCAUUUAUUUCUAUUAAUGUUUAUUCUGUUCAUUAUGCACAUUGUGUUUGUGUUUGCUUGUAAACGGAUGUGGCCUCGGUUACACACAAAGAAAUGAGAGAUGGCCGGCAGUUCAACCCAGACGAAACCCCCAUGACGCUAGAUGGCAACUUCCCUGCAGCUUAGCGGUGCCCCAGAUUCCCGCAGGGCAUUAUGGGAAAUGGAGUUUGGCUUCACAGCCCUGCUGGGUACCGUGGGUGCCGUGAAGGGAUGCUACAGGGAGACAAGGGGAUUUCGGUUUCCAAUAUAGCCCGGAAGUACUCCCAAGUCAUGGGGACGGAAGGACAGAAGUACUUCCAGGCUGAAGGAAGAUGUAAUUCUCCAUCUGACCCGGAAGUGCUGACAAAUCACACGAACAGAAGAGGAGCAGCACUUCCGGGUCAAGGACUAGUGGAGACCCAGCAAGGGAGCCGGAGCUGGGAGGGAGUGUGACAGAGCUGCUUGGUGGAGAGGAGGAAAAGUAUUGUGUUUGGUGGAUGUGGUGCUUUAGAGGCACAAUUGCAAAGAAGGAAUUAACGUUGUACUUAGUGCUUUUAAACUUGUGUCCUGAGCAUCUAUCUGUCUGUUGGGUUUCAUGGGGCAGCAUCGCCCUGUAACGUCCACACCUUCAAAGAAAAGACCAGCAGACUUACCGUGAAACACGGAGGAUGCUCACUUAUGUUUGGGGCUGCUUUGCUACAUCUGUCACAGGGGGACCUCGAGUCUGUGGAGGGAACAACGAAAUCUCAAGACCACCAAGACAUUCUGGAAUGAAACCUCCUGGCCAGUGUCAGGGUGCUCUGCCUCAGUCGCACCUCAUGGACCUUCCAACGGGAUAAGGAGCACCCAAGAUUGGUGAAGAACAAAACAUUGGACUGUUCUGAAGUGACCUUCUGAGAUGAAUCCCAUCAAACAUCGAUGGAGAGAACUGAAACAUGCCAUCUGGAGAAGACCCCUCCACGCCUGCCCCUGACUCUGUUGUAGCAAAACUCAAAAGCAAAGUCUGAUUUGUGUUAAAUACGAAAUACAAUGACUUUGGUACGUUUUAAGUUAUUUCAGAGACAGUUGGGGAUUCUACCACUUAAUCUGGCCACGUCUGUAUUUAUAUUUAUAUAUAUAUAUAUAUAUACACCAUUUGUCACAUGACUCUUCUGAAUAGAUUAUCUUCCAUUGGCAUUACCCACACUCCACUAGAUUGGUUCAGCUCCUACCUCUCAGGCCACACCCAGUUUGUUCAGCUUAAAACUUUCACAUCCCAACCCACUUCAGGUGGGCUCUGCACUGGGACCCCUCCUUCUCAUUAUUCACCUCCUUCCCAUCGGCUUUUAAAUCCCGACUGAAGACUUACAACUUCAGUUUAGCACACCCUGACUAGAGCUGCUGAUUAACUGUGCAGACUCCA